GUGGCGAACGGGUGAGUAACACGUGAGUAACCUGCCCUUGACUCUGGGAUAACCUCGGGAAACCGAAGCUAAUACCGGAUACGACCCUCGGAGGCAUCUCCAGGGGGUGGAAAGAACUUCGGUCAAGGAUGGACUCGCGGCCUAUCAGGUAGUUGGUGAGGUAACGGCUCACCAAGCCGACGACGGGUAGCCGGCCUGAGAGGGUGACCGGCCACACUGGGACUGAGACACGGCCCAGACUCCUACGGGAGGCAGCAGUGGGGAAUAUUGCACAAUGGGCGCAAGCCUGAUGCAGCAACGCCGCGUGAGGGACGACGGCCUUCGGGUUGUAAACCUCUUUUAGUAGGGAAGAAGCGAAAGUGACGGUACCUGCAGAAAAAGCACCGGCUAACUACGUGCCAGCAGCCGCGGUAAUACGUAGGGUGCAAGCGUUGUCCGGAAUUAUUGGGCGUAAAGAGCUCGUAGGCGGUUUGUCGCGUCUGCUGUGAAAACCCGAGGCUCAACCUCGGGCCUGCAGUGGGUACGGGCAAACUAGAGUGCGGUAGGGGAGAAUGGAAUUCCUGGUGUAGCGGUGGAAUGCGCAGAUAUCAGGAGGAACACCGAUGGCGAAGGCAGUUCUCUGGGCCGUAACUGACGCUGAG
Molecule: ribosomal RNA, 641 nt
Filed under: Leifsonia sp. I13A-01616
Lineage: Bacteria; Bacillati; Actinomycetota; Actinomycetes; Micrococcales; Microbacteriaceae
Description: bacterial SSU rRNA
Rfam family: Bacterial small subunit ribosomal RNA
Source: RNAcentral